RNAcentral lists this long non-coding RNA (911 nucleotides) under Phascolarctos cinereus (koala). RNAcentral's name for it is "lncRNA (ENSPCIG00000013091.2)". The record is from RNAcentral. Lineage: Eukaryota; Metazoa; Chordata; Mammalia; Diprotodontia; Phascolarctidae.
CUCCAGGGCACUGAAUUGAGAAGGUGCCGAGAGCAUUUGUAUUGCAGUUCUUCUGAAGCAUCGAAGAAAUAGAGUUUAGCACUUUUCUCUGCCCAUCCUACCCAUACCCCCAGAUGAAGACCAAGGAAGGGUCAUGCACCUGCAACCAUGUGAUGUUGGCCAUAUGCUACAGUUCUGUAUGCCUCAGGGGUGGGAGCAUGGCAGCAAUGGAACACAGAUUGGAGAGCUACCAGAUUCCUUAGAAGAAAACCCUUUUGGGAAGAUUAAAAACUGUCUAGGGGAGCAAGAAAGCUGCCCAAGUGAUAUCUAUGAAGUUCCCUGUCCUUCAGUUUCUCCAUAUAUGAGCAUAGCAGCAUAGCACUUUAUUCUCUCUCAGAAGAUGAGGCAAAAAGGACUUUGCACCAGGAUGCUGACAUCCAGAGGUUCAUACUUUCUUUCCUGGCACUCUUCAUCCCUGCUUCCUGGCUUUUUGCUGGCUUAAUCUCUUUGAUGUGCAACUAUCUGUGGGUGCUGCCACUAUAUCCAGAGUCUGUUGCCAUGGAACCUCCUUUGCAGAGAUCUCCUGCCUACCCCACCUCUAACUCUAUGUAAGUGAGGGUUGAACCACUCCCUUUCCUGGUGCAAGUGCAUCCCCAUUUCAUUCCCAUUUGGUCUUCUACUUCUCUUACUUGAUUUUCAAAAUCCUUUUUGAGCUCUUCUACAGCCCUAGACCAAUUUAUAUAUUUCUUGGAGGCUUUGGAUGGGAGCUUUGACUUUGUUGUCUUCUUCUGAGUGUAUGUUUUGAUCUUCCUUGUCACCGAAGUAAAUUUCUAUAGUCAGAGUUUUUUGCCCACUGUUUGCUCAUUUCCCCAGCCUAUUCCUUGACUUUUUAACUCUUUGUGAAAGAGUUAAACUCUGCUUCCAGUGUGGAG